RNAcentral lists this ribosomal RNA (468 nucleotides) under uncultured bacterium. RNAcentral describes it as "partial 16S ribosomal RNA". It matches the Rfam family "Bacterial small subunit ribosomal RNA", at positions 28 to 507 of the family's 1533-position model. The record is from RNAcentral.
GACGAACGCUGGCGGCGUGCUUAACACAUGCAAGUCGAACGGAAAGGCCCUGCUUUUGUGGGUUGCUCGAGUGGCGAACGGGUGAGUAACACGUGAGUAACCUGCCCUUGACUUUGGGAUAACUUCAGGAAACUGGGGCUAAUACCGGAUAGGAGCUCCUGCUGCAUGGUGGGGGUUGGAAAGUUUCGGCGGUUGGGGAUGGACUCGCGGCUUAUCAGCUUGUUGGUGGGGUAGUGGCUUACCAAGGCUUUGACGGGUAGCCGGCCUGAGAGGGUGACCGGCAACAUUGGGACUGAGAUACGGCCCAGCCUCCUACGGGAGGCAGCAGUGGGGAAUAUUGCACAAUGGGCGGAAGCCUGAUGCAGCAACGCCGCGUGCGGGAUGACGGCCUUCGGGUUGUAAACCGCUUUCGCCUGUGACGAAGCGUGAGUGACGGUAAUGGGUAAAGAAGCACCGGCUAACUACGUG